Molecule: transfer RNA, 87 nt
Filed under: Bacilli bacterium
Lineage: Bacteria; Bacillati; Bacillota; Bacilli
Description: tRNA-Leu
Rfam family: tRNA
About the family: Transfer RNA (tRNA) molecules are approximately 80 nucleotides in length. Their secondary structure includes four short double-helical elements and three loops (D, anti-codon, and T loops).
Source: RNAcentral
CCCCAAGUGGCGGAAUUGGUAGACGCAGCAGACUCAAAAUCUGCCGAGGUUAAACUUGUACCGGUUCGACUCCGGUCUUGGGGACCA